This 495-nucleotide ribosomal RNA is filed under the name uncultured bacterium. RNAcentral's name for it is "partial 16S ribosomal RNA". It matches the Rfam family "Bacterial small subunit ribosomal RNA", at positions 28 to 507 of the family's 1533-position model. The record is from RNAcentral.
GACGAACGCUGGCGGCGUGCCUAAUACAUGCAAGUAGAACGCUGAAGGAGGAGCUUGCUCUUCUGGAUGAGUUGCGAACGGGUGAGUAACGCGUAGGUAACCUGCCUGGUAGCGGGGGAUAACUAUUGGAAACGAUAGCUAAUACCGCAUAAUAGUAGAUGUUGCAUGAUAUUUACUUAAAAGUUUCAAUUGCACCACUACCAGAUGGACCUGCGUUGUAUUAGCUAGUUGGUGGGGUAAAGGCUCACCAAGGCGACGAUACAUAGCCGACCUGAGAGGGGGGUCGGCCAGACUGGGACUGAGACACGGCCCAGACGCCUACGGGAGGCAGCAGUAGGGAAUCUUGGGCAAUGGGCGAAAGUCUGACCGAGAAACGCCGCGGGAGUGAAGAAGGAUGUCGGAUCGUAAAGCUCGGUUGUAAGGGAAGAACGAGUGUGAGAGUGGAAAGUUCACACUGUGACGGUAUCUGACCAGAAAGGGACGGCUAACUACGUG